Molecule: long non-coding RNA, 306 nt
Filed under: Eutrema salsugineum
Lineage: Eukaryota; Viridiplantae; Streptophyta; Magnoliopsida; Brassicales; Brassicaceae
Description: long non-coding RNA (ESAL_LNC002223)
Source: RNAcentral
CGGAAGAAGCAGCCUGACCAGCUUCAGACUGCUGAAGGAUGGGCUAAGUUCACUGGAGGAUUCUUCUUCGGAGGGAUCUCUGGGGUGACUUGGGCUUACUUCCUUCUCUACGUUCUUGACCUUCCUUACUACGUCAAAUGAAUGUAGAUGAAAUACAAGCAUCCACCUUUAAAUACCCUCUUGCAUCAUUGUUUUUUUACUCUUGUCUUGAUCAAGAAUCUUGAAUCUCAGUAUGGUUAAUGUAUAUUACUAUGGAUCGUUUCUUAAAUCUUUCUUCAUCUUUAUUGACAUUAAUUUAUAUUUGCC